CGCAAAGAACGAAUAAGAAGAUCGCUUACAAAAGAUACCUAACUCUGUAUGGGCAGCUCCUUAACGAAAAGGACAAAAAUACAACCUGGAAAUAGGACAGGGGUUUAUAAAAUACCAGUAAAGAACAACAGCACUGAAGAAGAGGAGGUCUAUAUAGGUGUAAUUAACAGAGUCCUUAGCAAAAGGCUUAAUGAACAUAAGAAAGACUUGGAGAAAGGGAAAACCAGCACAGCCUUAGCCCUAGCAGCUUACAAGAAGGAUAUAACAGUGAACUGGCAGGCAGCAACAAUAAUUAGAUCCUACAAGAAAGAAAGGCACUCCUUCCUCGCAGAAG
This 334-nucleotide long non-coding RNA is filed under the name Androctonus crassicauda. Lineage: Eukaryota; Metazoa; Arthropoda; Arachnida; Scorpiones; Buthidae. The record is from RNAcentral.